ACCCUCCAGUUCCCUUUCCCACCAGAUCAGAACACUGGUCUGGGCGGGGUAAAACGAGGAAAAGAAACAUGGAAGCUGCCCCUCGGUGCUCCUGGAGCUUGGGCUGGUUUCAAACAGGG
Molecule: small nucleolar RNA, 119 nt
Filed under: Echinops telfairi (small Madagascar hedgehog)
Lineage: Eukaryota; Metazoa; Chordata; Mammalia; Afrosoricida; Tenrecidae
Description: Small nucleolar RNA SNORA61 (ENSETEG00000023438.1)
Rfam family: Small nucleolar RNA SNORA61
About the family: ACA61 is a member of the H/ACA class of snoRNA that guide the sites of modification of uridines to pseudouridines.
Source: RNAcentral